AAUGUUGUGUACUGUGCACU
RNAcentral lists this microRNA (20 nucleotides) under Callorhinchus milii (elephant shark). RNAcentral describes it as "eshark_NOVEL_39". The record is from RNAcentral. Lineage: Eukaryota; Metazoa; Chordata; Chondrichthyes; Chimaeriformes; Callorhinchidae.